ACGGCUCAGUAACACGUAGGUAACCUACCCUUCGGACGGGCACAACCCCGGGAAACUGGGGCUAAUUCCCGAUAGGUACCCCCUUCUGGAAUGUGGGGAUAUCCAAAGCUCCGGCGCCGAAGGAUGGGCCUGCGGCCGAUUAGGUUGUUGGCGGGGUUACAGCCCACCAAGCCGACGAUCGGUACGGGCAGUGAGAGCUGUAGCCCGGAGAUGGGGACUGAGACAAGGCCCCAGGCCCUACGGGGCGCAGCAGGCGCGAAACCUUCACAAUGCACGAAAGUGUGAUGAGGGUACUCCGAGUGCGCAUACAUUGUAUGUGCUUUUCUGCAGCGUAAAUAGUUGCAGGAAUAAGGGCUGGGCAAGACCGGUGCCAGCCGCCGCGGUAACACCGGCAGCCCUAGUGGUGGCCGCCUUUAUUGGGCCUAAAGCGUCCGUAGCCGGACAGGCGAGUCUUUGGGUAAAUCCUACGUCUUAAGCGUGGGAAUUCUAAAGAUACUACCUGUCUUGAGGCCGGGAGAGGCUGGAGGUACUCCUGGGGUAGGGGUAAAAUCCUAUAAUCCUGGGGGGACCACCGAUGGCGAAGGCAUCCAGCUGGAACGGGCCUGACGGUGAGGGACGAAACCCAGGGGAGCGAGCCGGAUUAGAUACCCGGGUAGUCCUGGGCGUAAAUGAUGUGGGCUUGGUGUGAGCGCAUCGACGAGGUGCGCUUGUGCCGUAGGGAAGCCGUUAAGCCCACCGCCUGGGGAGUACGGUCGCAAGGCUGAAACUUAAAGGAAUUGGCGGGGGAG
This 788-nucleotide ribosomal RNA is filed under the name uncultured euryarchaeote. RNAcentral's name for it is "bacterial SSU rRNA". It matches the Rfam family "Archaeal small subunit ribosomal RNA", at positions 85 to 876 of the family's 1478-position model. Lineage: Archaea; Methanobacteriati; Methanobacteriota. The record is from RNAcentral.